UUGCAAGGUCAAGUGAAGAAGGGCGCACGGUGAAUGCCUUGGCACUGGAAGCCGAUGAAGGACGCGACUAACCGCGAAAGUCUUCGGGGAGCCGUAAGUAGGCUUUGAUCCGGAGGUCUCCGAAUGGGGGAACCCAGCAUGUGCAGACAUGCUAUCCUUAAGUGAAUACAUAGCUUAAGGAGGGAACACGCAGUGAACUGAAACAUCUAAGUAGCUGCAGGAAGAGAAAGAAAUAUCGAUUUCCCAAGUAGCGGCGAGCGAACAGGAAAGAGCCCAAACCGGCAGAUUUAUCUGCCGGGGUUGUAGGACUGAGACAUGGCACUUCAGAGGAUAGCAGAAGCGUUUGGGAAAGCGCGCCAGAGAGGGUGAGAGCCCCGUAAGCGAAAUCCAAAGGAGGCCUAUCAGUAUCCUGAGUAGGGCGGGACACGUGAAAUCCCGUUUGAAUCCGCGAGGACCAUCUCGCAAGGCUAAAUACUAACCAGUGACCGAUAGUGAACCAGUACCGUGAGGGAAAGGUGAAAAGAACCCCGGGAGGGGAGUGAAAGAGAACCUGAAACCGUGUGCCUACAAGUAGUCAGAGCCCGUUAACGGGUAAUGGCGUGCCUUUUGUAGAAUGAACCGGCGAGUUGCGUUAGUCAGCAAGGUUAAGUCAGAAAAGACGGAGCCGUAGCGAAAGCGAGUCUGAAGAGGGCGAGCAGUUGGCUGACGCAGACCCGAAACCAAGUGACCUACCCAUGACCAGGUUGAAGGCGCGGUAAAACGCGCUGGAGGACCGAACCCACGUAAGUUGAAAAUUGCGGGGAUGAGUUGUGGGUAGCGGUGAAAUUCCAAACGAACUUGGAGAUAGCUGGUUCUCUCCGAAAUAGCUUUAGGGCUAGCCUCGCAAAGAGGAUGCUGGAGGUAGAGCUCUGUUUGGACUAGGGGCCCGUCAAGGGUUACUGAAUUCAGAUAAACUGCGAAUUCCAGACAUUUAUGUGCGGGAGUCAGACUGCGAGUGAUAAGAUCCGUAGUCGAAAGGGAAACAGCCCAGAUCACCAGUUAAGGUCCCAAAAUUCAUGCUAAGUGGAAAAGGAUGUGGAGUUGCGCAGACAACUAGGACGUUGGCUCAGAAGCAGCCAUCAUUCAAAGAGUGCGUAAUAGCUCACUAGUCGAGUGACGCCGCGCCGAAAAUUUACCGGGGCUAAGCAUGAUACCGAAACUGUGGAUGUGCGUUUAUGCACGUGGUAGGAGAGCGUUCUAGCGGCGGUGAAGCAUGACCGAGAGGACAUGUGGAGCUUCUAGAAGUGAGAAUGCCGGUAUGAGUAACGAAAGACAGGUGAGAAUCCUGUCCGCCGCAAGACUAAGGUUUCCUGGGGCAGGCUCGUCCGCCCAGGGUAAGUCGGGACCUAAGGCGAGGCCGAGAGGCGUAGUCGAUGGACAACAGGUUGAAAUUCCUGUACUGCACCGAAUCGUUAUGAGCGAUGGAGGGACGCAGGAGGCUAGCAGCGCGUGGUGCUGGAUACCACGUUCAAGCGUCAAGUCUGAGAGCGAGUCAAAUGCUUGCUCUCAUAAGGACAAGGCGUGAUGAGGAGCGAAAUUAAAGUAGCGAAGGCUGCGACGUCACACUGCCGAGAAAAGCUUCUAGCCAGAGACGGUGCACCCGUACCGCAAACCGACACAGGUAGUCGAGGAGAGUAUCCUCAGGUGAGCGAGAGAACUCUCGUUAAGGAACUCGGCAAAAUGGCCCCGUAACUUCGGGAGAAGGGGCGCUGGUCGCAAGAUCAGCCGCAGUGAAAAGGCCCAAGCAACUGUUUAUCAAAAACACAGGCAUCUGCAAAAUCGUAAGAUGAAGUAUAGGUGCUGACACCUGCCCGGUGCUGGAAGGUUAAGAGGAGAGCUUAGCGCAAGCGAAGGUUUGAAUUGAAGCCCCAGUAAACGGCGGCCGUAACUAUAACGGUCCUAAGGUAGCGAAAUUCCUUGUCGGGUAAGUUCCGACCUGCACGAAAGGUGUAAUGAUUUGGGCACUGUCUCAACGAGAGACUCGGUGAAAUUAUAAUACCCGUGAAGAUGCGGGUUACCCGCGACAGGACGGAAAGACCCCAU
Molecule: ribosomal RNA, 2082 nt
Filed under: Lactobacillus delbrueckii subsp. bulgaricus
Lineage: Bacteria; Bacillati; Bacillota; Bacilli; Lactobacillales; Lactobacillaceae
Description: partial 23S ribosomal RNA
Rfam family: Bacterial large subunit ribosomal RNA
Source: RNAcentral